ACAAUGAAGAGUUUGAUCCUGGCUCAGGAUGAACGCUAGCUACAGGCUUAACACAUGCAAGUCGAGGGGCAGCAUUUCAGUUUGCUUGCAAACUGGAGAUGGCGACCGGCGCACGGGUGAGUAACACGUAUCCAACCUGCCGAUAACUCGGGGAUAGCCUUUCGAAAGAAAGAUUAAUACCCGAUGGUAUAAUCAGACCGCAUGGUCUUGUUAUUAAAGAAUUUCGGUUAUCGAUGGGGAUGCGUUCCAUUAGGCAGUUGGUGAGGUAACGGCUCACCAAACCUUCGAUGGAUAGGGGUUCUGAGAGGAAGGUCCCCCACAUUGGAACUGAGACACGGUCCAAACUCCUACGGGAGGCAGCAGUGAGGAAUAUUGGUCAAUGGGCGCAGGCCUGAACCAGCCAAGUAGCGUGAAGGAUGACUGCCCUAUGGGUUGUAAACUUCUUUUAUAUGGGAAUAAAGUUUUCCACGUGUGGAAUUUUGUAUGUACCAUAUGAAUAAGGAUCGGCUAACUCCGUGCCAGCAGCCGCGGUAAUACGGAGGAUCCGAGCGUUAUCCGGAUUUAUUGGGUUUAAAGGGAGCGUAGGUGGACAGUUAAGUCAGUUGUGAAAGUUUGCGGCUCAACCGUAAAAUUGCAGUUGAUACUGGCUGUCUUGAGUACAGUAGAGGUGGGCGGAAUUCGUGGUGUAGCGGUGAAAUGCUUAGAUAUCACGAAGAACUCCGAUUGCGAAGGCAGCUCACUGGACUGCAACUGACACUGAUGCUCGAAAGUGUGGGUAUCAAACAGGAUUAGAUACCCUGGUAGUCCACACAGUAAACGAUGAAUACUCGCUGUUUGCGAUAUACAGUAAGCGGCCAAGCGAAAGCAUUAAGUAUUCCACCUGGGGAGUACGCCGGCAACGGUGAAACUCAAAGGAAUUGACGGGGGCCCGCACAAGCGGAGGAACAUGUGGUUUAAUUCGAUGAUACGCGAGGAACCUUACCCGGGCUUAAAUUGCA
Molecule: ribosomal RNA, 998 nt
Filed under: Bacteroides thetaiotaomicron
Lineage: Bacteria; Pseudomonadati; Bacteroidota; Bacteroidia; Bacteroidales; Bacteroidaceae
Description: bacterial SSU rRNA
Rfam family: Bacterial small subunit ribosomal RNA
Source: RNAcentral